CCCCCACUCCCCUCUCAGCCCGUUGGGUAACCAGCGUUCAUGUGCCUCCCCCACUCCCCUCUCAGCCCGUUGGGUAACCAGCAUUCAUGUGCCCCCUCCCCUCUCAGCCCAUUGGGUAACCAGCGUUCAUGUGCCCCCCACUCCCCUCUCAGCCCAUUGGAUAACCAGCGUUCAUGUGCCCCCUCCCCUCUCAGCCCAUUGGGUAACCAGCGUUCAUGUGCCCCCCCACUCCCCUCUCAGCCCAUUGGAUAACCAGCGUUCAUUUCAUGUGCCCCCACUCCCCUCUCAGCCCAUUGGGUAACCAGCGUUCAUGUGCCCCCCACUCCCCUCUCAGCCCAUUGGGUAACCAGCGUUCAUGUGCCCCCCACUCCCCUCUCAGCCCGUUGGGUAACCAGCGUUCAUGUGCCCCCACUCCCCUCUCAGCCCAUUGGGUAACCAGCAUUCAUGUGCCCCCCACUCCCCUCUC
This is a long non-coding RNA of Oncorhynchus tshawytscha (Chinook salmon), 466 nucleotides long. The record is from Ensembl. Lineage: Eukaryota; Metazoa; Chordata; Actinopteri; Salmoniformes; Salmonidae.